ACCUGGCUGUGACAUCUGUCACCCCAUUGAUCACCAGUGUUGAUUUGGCUGAUCUGCUUGGCUAGUCCAAUGUCCCCAU
RNAcentral lists this small RNA (79 nucleotides) under Castor canadensis (American beaver). Its description in RNAcentral is "7SK RNA (ENSCCNG00000031665.1)". It matches the Rfam family "7SK RNA", at positions 14 to 92 of the family's 331-position model. Rfam says of the family: 7SK was discovered as an abundant small nuclear RNA in the mid-70s but a possible function has only recently been suggested. Lineage: Eukaryota; Metazoa; Chordata; Mammalia; Rodentia; Castoridae. The record is from Rfam by way of RNAcentral.